GAUGAACGCUGGCGGCGUGCCUAAUACAUGCAAGUCGAGCGAACGGACGAGAAUCUUGCUUCUCUGAUGUUAUCGGCGGACGGGUGAGUAACACGUGGAUAACCUACCUAUAAGACUGGGAUAACUUCGGGAAACCGGAGCUAAUACCGGAUAAUAUUUUGAACCGCAUGGUUCAAAAGUGAAAGACGGUCUUGCUGUCACUUAUAGAUGGAUCCGCGCUGCAUUAGCUAGUUGGUAAGGUAACGGCUUACCAAGGCAACGAUGCAUAGCCGACCUGAGAGGGUGAUCGGCCACACUGGAACUGAGACACGGUCCAGACUCCUACGGGAGGCAGCAGUAGGGAAUCUUCCGCAAUGGGCGAAAGCCUGACGGAGCAACGCCGCGUGAGUGAUGAAGGUCUUCGGAUCGUAAAACUCUGUUAUUAGGGAAGAACAUAUGUGUAAGUAACUGUGCACAUCUUGCGGGUACCUAAUCAGAAAGCCACGGCUAACUACGUG
This 497-nucleotide ribosomal RNA is filed under the name uncultured bacterium. RNAcentral's name for it is "partial 16S ribosomal RNA". It matches the Rfam family "Bacterial small subunit ribosomal RNA", at positions 28 to 507 of the family's 1533-position model. The record is from RNAcentral.